UACGUAGGGGGCAAGCGUUGUCCGGAUUUAUUGGGCGUAAAGCGCUCGCAGGUGGUCCGAUGCGUCGUGCGUGAAAGCCCCCGGCUCAACCGGGGAAGUGCAUCUGAAACUGGCGAGCUAGAGUACGAAAGAGGGUCGCGGAAUUCCCGGUGUAGAGGUGAAAUUCGUAGAUAUCGGGAGGAACACCGGUGGCGAAGGCGGCGACCUGGGUAGAUACUGACGCUGAGGUGCGAAAGCGUGGGGAGCAAACAGG
This 253-nucleotide ribosomal RNA is filed under the name uncultured bacterium. Its description in RNAcentral is "partial 16S ribosomal RNA". It matches the Rfam family "Bacterial small subunit ribosomal RNA", at positions 524 to 776 of the family's 1533-position model. The record is from RNAcentral.